Molecule: small nuclear RNA, 104 nt
Filed under: Trichobilharzia regenti
Lineage: Eukaryota; Metazoa; Platyhelminthes; Trematoda; Strigeidida; Schistosomatidae
Source: RNAcentral
CUCACUUUGGUGAUAGACAUACUAAAACUGGAAUGAUACAGAGAAGAUUAUUAUGGCGCCUGCAUAACGGUGAUAUGCAAAUUCAUGAAUUGUUCCAUAUUUUU